UAAAUGGAGAAAAGUUUCAAAGAGACUAAAUCAAAGACGCUAAGAGAAAAGCCUGUGCGCCAGAAAAGUGCUUCAUUAAACAUGCAGGAGAAGCUGCAUGAAUUUCAGACGGUUCUGUCUUUGGCUGAGAAGAACUUGGUAGAAGACAAUGAGAGGACAGUCUGCCACUGCCUAAAGACUACCUAGUACUUCAUCAGUUUUCCCUGGUUUUCCAUACACGCUCUAAGAAGGCAUGUAACCCAUGAAGUAAGAAGAUUUUUUGCAUAAAUAUAGUGGAGGAUUACCCUGGAUUCAGAAGGUCCGGUACUGCUCAGGAGGUAGGAAGCUCAAUUUUUAUUUUCAUUGCUACUAUAUGACAUGCUAUAUCUGAGAAUAUGUCCUGUGAAACCAAAAGGCAUGAUAAAAACCAGGUUAUUCAGGAUUGAAUUGAGAUUUUACUCAAUGAAGGCAAGAAAUUAAAGGUUUUGAAAAUAAGAUUUAAUAGGCAAGCAGACAUUUCAAUCAAUGCCAAAAUAUUCAUCUUUGUAUAUACAGAGUGAGAAAAUUCACAUAUAUAUAUAUGUAUAUAUAUAUAUAUAUAUAAAAGAAAAUUUAAAAAUUUUGAAAUAUUUUAUAAAUAUCUAAAAUUCAAGAAGUUAAAAAUCUGUACUUCCUUACAUGAUAUACAACAUAUUAAGUUGCACAUAUUUAACCUUUCAUAAGAGAAAGUUAAUUCUUUACUCCUUAUGGCUACAUUUGUGAUCUAGAUUCCUGAACUGAAUUCCUGGUCUGAAGAAUUCAAGAUGCAAAUAAGUAGGCACAACAGUGAAAAGAAUUAUAGCAAAGUAAGUCAGAUCAACUAAACUAUGCUUGGAGUAUGUAGAUCAAAACAACCAGAAUGAAAAAAAAGUGGCCCCUACUACUAAACAAUAAUAUAAAAAGACUCAGAACAGUAUGUUUAUUCUACUAAAUAAAUACUGUUUCUAGUGCUUAUAGAAUCAGAAUAGUGUGGUAACAUCUUCCCACAACAGAUUUUCUCAUCUAUCUCUUUGUUAUUAGGAUGUAAAGGUUUGAACACUGUCAAUGAUCUGCAAAAAACACUAAUUUUUUUCCUCCAAAAUUACUCUUUUCAAAUUUUUUUUUCUGUUUAAAAAAA
Motacilla alba alba is the source of this 1135-nucleotide long non-coding RNA. RefSeq lists it as uncharacterized. The transcript is spliced from 3 exons. Lineage: Eukaryota; Metazoa; Chordata; Aves; Passeriformes; Motacillidae. The record is from RefSeq and is a predicted model, not a curated record.